RNAcentral lists this ribosomal RNA (1098 nucleotides) under Triticum aestivum (bread wheat). RNAcentral's name for it is "partial small subunit ribosomal RNA". The record is from RNAcentral. Lineage: Eukaryota; Viridiplantae; Streptophyta; Magnoliopsida; Poales; Poaceae.
AUGGAGAGCUCGUCGCCUUCGGUGCCGUUCCCGCUGCUGCAGGCGCCAGUGGAGAGCACGUACCGUGCCUGCACCAUACCCUACCGCUUCCCCUCCGACAACCCCCGCAAGGCCACCCCCGUCGAGAUCCAGUGGAUCGACCUCUUCCUGAAGUCCGUGCCAUCCUUCAGGCAGCGGGCGGAGAAUGACCCCACGGUGCCGGAUGCCCCCGCCAAGGCCGAGAAGUUUGCUCAGAGGUACACUGAUAUGCUUGAGGAGUUGAAGAAGAACCCAGAGAGCCAUGGAGGACCUCCUGAUUGCAUACUUCUUUGUAGGCUUCGUGAGCUAAUCCUUAGAGAAUUGGGGUUUCAUGACAUCUUCAAGAAGGUCAAGGACGAGGAGAACGCUAAGGCUAUGUCACUGUUUGAGGGAGUUGUUCAGCGGAAUGAUGAAAUAGAAGACGGUGAGAAACGAGCAGAGAACUUGAUCCGUGGAAUCUUAGCAGGAAACAUAUUUGACCUAGGGUCUGCACAGCUUGCAGAAGUUUUUGCUAAAGAUGGUAUGUCCUUCUUGGCGAGUUGCCAGAAUCUUUUAUCUCGACCUUGGGUUAUUGAUGACCUAGAUGCAUUUAAAAGCAAAUGGACCAAGAAAUCUUGGGAAAAGGCAGUUAUUUUUGUUGAUAAUUCUGGUGCUGAUAUCAUAUUGGGCAUAUUACCAUUUGCGAGGGAGUUGCUCCGACGUGGCACUAAGGUGAUACUUGCUGCCAAUGACAUGCCUUCCAUCAAUGAUAUCACUUACCUAGAGUUGGUUGAGAUUGUAAACAAGCUCAAGGACGAAAAUGGAAAGCUUGCAGGUGUGGAUGUAUCCGACCUCAUUGUUGCCAACUCCGGGAACGAUCUGCCAGUAAUAGAUUUGUCUAGCGUCGCACCGGAACUAGCCUAUAUGGCAAGCGAUGCUGACUUGGUCAUCCUAGAAGGCAUGGGAAGAGGAAUCGAAACCAACCUGUACGCACAAAUGAAAUGUGACUCGAUCAAGAUUGGAAUGGUCAAGCAUCCUGAAGUGGCGCAGUUUUUGGGUGGAAGGCUUUAUGAUUGUGUCUUCAAGUUCAACGAGGCCUGA